RNA transcript from Nilaparvata lugens (brown planthopper), 4320 nucleotides. It is a transcript of the gene named carboxypeptidase B, with no coding region annotated. The record is from RefSeq and is a predicted model, not a curated record. The transcript has 5 exons. NCBI's taxonomy places the organism in Eukaryota, Metazoa, Arthropoda, Insecta, Hemiptera, Delphacidae.
UAAACUCUCCAACAAUGCAUCGCAAAAAUGAAUGCUCAUCGUAGAUUUGUAGUCUAAUUUGUUUCUCUUUAGUUUGAUGUAUUAUUUCACUAUUUCAUGUUUUCCUUCCAUUGUUAUAGCAGAUUCAAUGUGGGAGGUGAAAUAUUGUAGGAAAUUAUGUAAGCUUUAAAUUCUUAUAGAGUAGUCAUGUCCGUAAAAUGCAUAAUUUCGAGUUAUAUGCGAGAAACAAAAAAAUGGUACCUUUGAACCUCCCCCACCCCCUUAGCACAGUGGGUAGGGGUGGGGACUUUUGAUAUGUUUACCUCCUUACUACCCUGAACAGAACUGCGGGGUAAAAAUUGUCUUCCAAACUUUUCCCUCUAUAACACUUUGUUAACUGGGCUAUUACCUCAUGAGAUUAAAUAUAUUUUGAAUUCGGCUUACAUGAGCUCACAGUUUGAUUUUAUAUUAGAAUAUUAUUAUGAUUCUUUCAAACAAGUUUGAAGAGUUCUUAUAGAAAGUUUAAUAUAAUCGACAUGUGUGUUACUGUCAACUACAUAAUAAGCAAUCUCCUCUUUUGUAAAAUAAGAGUUGGCAGGACAGGUCAACAAUCUUACCCGACGAUUGUAAAAUUUCAUUUCAUUUUUAAUCACCAGAAUAAUUAAAAAAUAUAAUUUCUUAUCAAAUGAACUACUCGUAAUAUUGACCUGCAAAUUAAAGUUAUUCAUCUUAUCAGAACACGGAAGGCGUGUUGUAUUAAUUUAUUCAAUGCAAUAAGUUCAUUAUCAAGACGUAUUUUGAUAAUUCUUGCCCAUUUUGAUAGCGGGUUAAUGCUCUGUAUAGUUAUCUCUUGUUGCAACAAACAGCUAUUAAAAACCUACUAGAACAUUACUGUGAUUUAUUAUUCGAGUUUUUCCGAAAAUUAAAUUGUACCUAUUUAGUAGGUCUACUCUGAUUAAGAGAUUCAGUUACAUUAAAAGUUAUUUAGUUUAUUGUUCAUCAAAUAUUAGAAAAGAGAGAAGUUUUCGAAAGUGAAAUUGCUAUAAUUAUAGUAAGUGUGCAAAAUAGUAGUACUUUUAUACCGUGUCACGGUUGAUGUUAAAUACGCUAUCUUGAUCAUGUUCCGUUUCAUCGAGUUAUAUUAGGAAAUUAAGAACAAACAUUAAUAGGAGUGACAGUGUGUAAGACAUUUCAGGCCUCUAAAUAAUUGAAUAUUUUUGAAUGAAUGGUAAAAGCAUUUUUCUGUCCAUCUGUAGAAAAGCAUUUUUGUUGUAGUCAGCUCUUGCUGCUUCACGCCUAUCUCUCAAGUUGAAAUGAUCAAAAUAGAUUGGUAAUCAAACUAAUAACUUCACAGUUUGUGAUAAAAUCUAUCAAGUAUUUUCAAAUGCUGUGAAUUUAGUUCUUACUGAUUUUGAUACAACUGUACAAUGGCUACGAAUGAACUUGAUCAUUCAGUUCUGGAAAUAAGUGAAAGGAUCAUUUCUGAGAGACUUGACAAUUUGAAAGUGGUUUCAGGAAAGUAUACCGCACUUGAUACAGAUGGACAUUUUACAUCUACUGUAAAGGCUUUAGAAAUAUGUGUUGUGAAUGCUAAUGGUUGUGGAGAUAAGAGAUCAAUUAACCUCAUAGCGAAGGUUCUGGAGAAUCAAAAGGAUGACUAUUUGAAGUUGGCAUUCAGGAAGGAGAAUGAAUUCUACUGUUCUCUAAUACCCAUGUACAAUAGCAUCAGUUUGAGCAGAAAUAUGGAUGACACCUUGACUCCAAAUUAUUUUGGGAGCAAUAUUUCAUCAACAGAGAAUGAACCAAGUAUAAUUCUUCUAGAUAAUUUGCAAUAUUCUGGCUACAAGGUAUUCCCUAACAGAUUUUUCGACUGGGACCUCACAGAACUGAUCAUUGACAAGAUGAGCCUCUUCCACGCUUUUGGAAUCGCGCUAAAACAACUGAGAAGCAAGAUUUUCGAAGAGGAUUUUAAAGAUGUGGUUGAGCCUGCUCUACGGAACAGCAAUUCGAUUGAUAGAUCGACUAUUAACUUGAAGCUCAGAACCGAAAUCAGAGAACUUCUACAGAAACGACCCGACAUGGAAGAGCUGGUGCCGAGAGUCGAUGCACUUCUAGAGAAAAUCGACAAUAUGAGAAUUCCUCAACCAAAAAACCCAUUCUGCACCUUGAUACACAACGAUCUAUGGAAGAACAAUAUUUUACUUAAAUACUCAGAUGAAUCAAUCUUAGUUGACGUCAAAUUCAUAGACUUCCAAUUUGUUCUGUACAACUCUCCUAUACGAGACUUGGCUUAUUUUAUUUUCUCAUCAUGUUCUCCUGAUAUACAAAAGGAGUUCAGGAAAAUAUCAAUGUUCUACUAUGAAUGUUUUGUGGAAAAUCUCAAAAAACUGAAAUGUGACAUUAGUGAAUUCACCGAGAGUGGAUUUGUUGAAGAGGUGAAUGAGUUUGCGCCAACAAAAUUUAAACAUUUGAUACUUUUAAUGAAGAAUACGCCAAAUACAUUUGAAGAGAGGCUGAUUGAACUUGUAACAAGUCAUGCUGAAAAUGAUUUGCUGUGAAUAAUGCUUAAUGUUAUAAAUAUUGUGAUAAUGUAGGUAAUCCUAGGUAUUUGAGAAUCAUUUUUCUCUUUUCGUCCUAGGAUAACAGGGUACUCGAUAAUUUAUUGAUUUCUAUUGAAAUUUGAAAAAGAUCUGUGUUACUGGGUCUUGAAUAAUUAAUUUAUCAUUAGAUAUUCAUUUUCAAAUAAAAGUCUUAUUAAAUGAGAUUCCAGUUUGUCUAUGAUGGAUUAUAGUAACAUUUUUUGAUAACAAAUGGAAUGGAAAAUCAUAAAAAUAAUUUAACAAUGAGCUUGGGAAAUUUGUAAUUAGUGGAAAUAUCCUGUUUAAAUUAAUUAUUCAACAGUAUAAGAUAUAAGGAGGAAAAGCUCUCUCAACCGUAACAAUUAUUAUUAAAUUAAAACUUGACUUACUCUCAUGAAAACAGUAUUAAAAAUGAUAAGGUGUCAUCAGUUAUUUCAUAGUUUGACAACUUUUUUUUCUCUUAUCAACAAUAUGUCAAACGUUUUUGUAUAUGUAAGUAUAAUUAAGUUCAUGUGAGUCACUGUAAAAACCUACACACUUAUGCCCUCAAUGUUCUAACUUGUUCUGACUUGAACAAAUUUUGUGACAAAACUGAAAUAAUCAUUCACAAUAUUACUCUCCAAGUCAACGCCUAUUAUGAAUGGGGAAAUCCUGUUAUUAGUAGGCAUACCUACAUUUCACCUUCUAACUAGUUGUCAAUUUUUUAAAAACGAGCUGUCAAAUGUUUUUAAACAACUUUUCCUGUACGGGAAAAAUCUGGAAACACAGAGUUAGUGUCUAUUUGUCCUUCGAAAUUUGCAAUUGUCAUAGUUUCAGUUCAAAACAAAAUAAAAGAAGAGACAUAAACUGAAGAAAUGUCAGUAUACCGCCAAGUAGGGUUAAGAUUAGCACAGAACUACAGAUACUGGAAUUUGGAUUAUUAGUACCUAUUUUAGUUUUCGUUCCUUGGGAAAUAAGUCGAUAUCCACAGUGUGAGUUAUCGUUAUUUUGGUGAAAUUUGUCAAAAUUUUUUACGUAUUUUCGAUAGUUUAUAGUUUUUUCGUGGGAAUAUUAGAAGUUUUCAUCGACAUAGUUUCAGCUAUCUAAGAAACCUUGAGAAGUAUGGAAGUAUUGAGAAUUCAAUUGGAUACUCUGUGAUAUAUUUUGUCUCUUAUCAAAAGUGUUAAGCUUUGUAGGGAUAGGCAAGGUAUCACAAGUUUUUUUUGCUAAAAUGGGAUUCCUUCCGAUUGUGCUGAUACCUUUUUUAGUGUUCUGUGCAGCCUUGGCUAAUCCGACAGACUAUGAAGUAAAUUUGACCGAUUAUGAUGGAGUUCAUUUGAUUAGAGUUUACUCAAAGUAUGAUGGAUCUGUUGAUAGAUUAAUUGAUAAAUUGGCGGAGGAAGAUGACGUAUCAAUAAUAAGAAGAAGCUUAGAUUCAACAGAUAUACUUGUUGUUCAUGACAAUGUAAAAUGGAUCAAAAGGGACUUUGAGAACAAAAGUAUUCGCUAUGAGAUUGUGAUUGAAGAUGUUGGAGCUGCUAUCAGGGAAGAAACUGGAAUCGCACCAAAGCCCGACAGACCUAACGUUGAAUGGGAUUGGUGGAGCUCAUCCUGGGCCCAAUGGUGGAGGAACUUUGGCUGGAAAGAACAUAAUCCCAAAAUGGUGGAAUUUCCCGAACACAAGGGACAUGCCACAUACAGGCAUAGUGAGUGAAAACAAUCAUUGUAUCAGCACGAAUUAAUGUCCAAUAAACUAUUUCAAUACGCUUUUGUGAAGUCCAAA